UGGGGGAUAUUGCACAAUGGGCGAAAGCCUGAUGCAGCGACGCCGCGUGGGGGAUGAAGGCCUUCGGGUUGUAAACUUCUUUUGCUCUGAACAAGGCGCACCAUGGGGUGUGUUGAGUGUAGGGGUUGAUUAGCGCCGGCUAACUACGUGCCAGCAGCCGCGGUAAUACGUAGGGCGCGAGCGUUGUCCGGAAUUAUUGGGCGUAAAGGGCUUGUAGGUGGCUGGUUGCGUCUGUCGUGAAAGCUCAUGGCUUAACUGUGGGUUUGCGGUGGGUACGGGCUGGCUUGAGUGCAGGAGGGGAGGCUGGAAUUCCUGGUGUAGCGGUGGAAUGCGCAGAUAUCAGGAGGAAUACCGGUGGCGAAGGCGGGUCUCUGGGCUGUUACUGACACUGAGGAGCGAAAGCAUGGGGAGCGAACAGG
This 419-nucleotide ribosomal RNA is filed under the name bacterium. Its description in RNAcentral is "partial 16S ribosomal RNA". It matches the Rfam family "Bacterial small subunit ribosomal RNA", at positions 355 to 776 of the family's 1533-position model. The record is from RNAcentral.